UACAGAGGUGGCAAGCGUUGUUCGGAAUUACUGGGCGUAAAGCGCGUGUAGGCGGCUCUUCAAGUCAGGCGUGAAAGCCCCGGGCUCAACCCGGGAACUGCGCUUGAUACUGUCGAGCUAGAGUGUGGAAGGGGCGAUUGGAAUUCCGUGUGUAGCGGUGAAAUGCGUAGAUAUACGGAGGAACACCAGAGGCGAAGGCGGAUCGCUGGGCCAACACUGACGCUGAGACGCGAAAGCUAGGGUAGCAAACGGG
This 253-nucleotide ribosomal RNA is filed under the name uncultured bacterium. Its description in RNAcentral is "partial 16S ribosomal RNA". It matches the Rfam family "Bacterial small subunit ribosomal RNA", at positions 524 to 776 of the family's 1533-position model. The record is from RNAcentral.